Molecule: ribosomal RNA, 429 nt
Filed under: Pseudomonadota bacterium
Lineage: Bacteria; Pseudomonadati; Pseudomonadota
Description: Proteobacteria bacterium partial 16S ribosomal RNA
Rfam family: Bacterial small subunit ribosomal RNA
Source: RNAcentral
UGGGGAAUAUUGGACAAUGGGCGAAAGCCUGAUCCAGCCAUGCCGCGUGUGUGAAGAAGGUCUUCGGAUUGUAAAGCACUUUAAGUUGGGAGGAAGGGCAGUAAGCGAAUACAUUGCUGUUUUGACGUUACCGACAGAAUAAGCACCGGCUAACUCUGUGCCAGCAGCCGCGGUAAUACAGAGGGUGCAAGCGUUAAUCGGAAUUACUGGGCGUAAAGCGCGCGUAGGUGGUUCGUUAAGUUGAAUGUGAAAGCCCCGGGCUCAACCUGGGAACUGCAUCCAAAACUUGCGAGCUAGAGUAGGGCAGAGGGUGGUGGAAUUUCCUGUGUAGCGGUGAAAUGCGUAGAUAUAGGAAGGAACACCAGUGGCGAAGGCGACCACCUGGGCUCAUACUGACACUGAGGUGCGAAAGCGUGGGGAGCAAACAGG